Molecule: ribosomal RNA, 915 nt
Filed under: Cortinarius sp. PDD 107376
Lineage: Eukaryota; Fungi; Basidiomycota; Agaricomycetes; Agaricales; Cortinariaceae
Description: partial large subunit ribosomal RNA
Rfam family: Eukaryotic large subunit ribosomal RNA
Source: RNAcentral
CAUAUCAAUAAGCGGAGGAAAAGAAACUAACAAGGAUUCCCCUAGUAACUGCGAGUGAAGCGGGAAAAGCUCAAAUUUAAAAUCUGGCAGCCUUUGGUUGUCCGAGUUGUAAUCUAGAGAAGUGUUAUCCGCGUUGGACCGUGUACAAGUCUCCUGGAAUGGAGCGUCAUAGAGGGUGAGAAUCCCGUCUUUGACACGGACUGCCAAGGCUUUGUGAUGCGCUCUCAAAGAGUCGAGUUGUUUGGGAAUGCAGCUCAAAAUGGGUGGUAAAUUCCAUCUAAAGCUAAAUAUUGGCGAGAGACCGAUAGCGAACAAGUACCGUGAGGGAAAGAUGAAAAGAACUUUGGAAAGAGAGUUAAACAGUACGUGAAAUUGCUGAAAGGGAAACGCUUGAAGUCAGUCGCGUUGUCCAGGGAUCAACCUUGCUUUUGCUUGGUGCACUUUCUGGUUGACGGGUCAGCAUCAAUUUUGACUAUUGGAAAAAGAUUAGGGGAAUGUGGCAUCUUCGGAUGUGUUAUAGCCCUUAGUUGCAUACAAUGGUUGGGAUUGAGGAACUCAGCACGCCGCAAGGCCGGGUUUUUAACCACGUACGUGCUUAGGAUGCUGGCAUAAUGGCUUUAAUCGACCCGUCUUGAAACACGGACCAAGGAGUCUAACAUGCCUGCGAGUGUUUGGGUGGAAAACUCGAGCGCGUAAUGAAAGUGAAAGUUGAGAUCCCUGUCGUGGGGAGCAUCGACGCCCGGACCAGACCUUUUGUGACGGUUCCGCGGUAGAGCAUGUAUGUUGGGACCCGAAAGAUGGUGAACUAUGCCUGAAUAGGGUGAAGCCAGAGGAAACUCUGGUGGAGGCUCGUAGCGAUUCUGACGUGCAAAUCGAUCGUCAAAUUUGGGUAUAGGGGCGAAAGACUAAUUCGAA